RNAcentral lists this ribosomal RNA (324 nucleotides) under uncultured bacterium. RNAcentral's name for it is "bacterial SSU rRNA". It matches the Rfam family "Bacterial small subunit ribosomal RNA", at positions 28 to 334 of the family's 1533-position model. The record is from RNAcentral.
GAUGAACGCUGGCGGCGUGCUUAACACAUGCAAGUCGAACGAAGCACCUUGAUUUGAUUCUUCGGAUGAAGAUCUUGGUGACUGAGUGGCGGACGGGUGAGUAACGCGUGGGUAACCUGCCUUAUACAGGGGGAUAACAGUUAGAAAUGGCUGCUAAUACCGCAUAAGCGCACAGGACCGCAUGGUCUGGUGUGAAAAACUCCGGUGGUAUAAGAUGGACCCGCGUCUGAUUAGCUGGUUGGUGGGGUAACGGCCCACCAAGGCGACGAUCAGUAGCCGGCCUGAGAGGGUGAACGGCCACAUUGGGACUGAGACACGGCCCAG